GAAAUGCGAUAAGUAAUGUGAGUUGCAGAAUUCAGUGAAUCAUCGAAUCUUUGAACGCACCUUGCGCCCUCUGGUAUUCCGGAGGGCAUGCCUGUUUGAGUGUCAUUAAAUUCUCAACUCUAAAAGCUUUUAUUAGCUUAUUAGAGCUUGGAUGUUGGGAGCUUGCUGGUGUCUUUAGAUAUUCGGCUCUCCUCAAAUUCAUUAGUGGAAGUCUCUUUGUUGGAGUUCAUCCUUGGUGUGAUAAUUAUCUACGCUUUGGAUAGUCCAAUGUUUCCAUUGAGAUUGUAUUAGUAUUGUGACUAGUUGCUUUACUUUUUGGAUCUCAGAGGAAAGGAAGUUUUGCUCUCUAACUGUCUAUGCUACUAUAGACAACUUAUUGACUAUUUGACCUCAAAUCAGGUAGGACUACCCGCUGAACUUAAGCAUAUCAAUAAGCGG
This 438-nucleotide ribosomal RNA is filed under the name uncultured Marasmiaceae. RNAcentral describes it as "eukaryotic LSU rRNA". The stretch from base 1 to 105 matches the Rfam family "5.8S ribosomal RNA", at positions 50 to 154 of the family's 154-position model. The record is from RNAcentral. Lineage: Eukaryota; Fungi; Basidiomycota; Agaricomycetes; Agaricales.